RNAcentral lists this long non-coding RNA (859 nucleotides) under Salmo trutta (river trout). RNAcentral's name for it is "lncRNA (ENSSTUG00000014870.1)". The record is from RNAcentral. Lineage: Eukaryota; Metazoa; Chordata; Actinopteri; Salmoniformes; Salmonidae.
GUUCAAUCGGAGCAUAAAUGUAUUAUCAAGGCCUUUUUCCCUCAAUAGCAUCACUGUGCUUAGAGGGAGCUAAUGUGCGGCAGCAGUCAUUCAGGCAGUCAGACGGUGUGGGAGUGAAUGUCAAGGACAGAAUGAAAGCCUCCUGUAUGAGGCUUGCCUCGCACACUGUCCCCUGAGCCCCAGCUCUGUCUGGCUUGUUACAUAUCCGAGGAGUCGGGAGAUUGACACCUCGGAGGUACUGACACGACCGUGUUUUUCCAUCCACCUUCUUUUGUUUCAGGUUAUCAGUAGCCCAGAGGUUCACAUGCCAAGAAAGCGAGGAGGAGGACAAGGAGGAGGAGGGGCAGGAAGAGGAGCCAGAGGGGACACACCCAGGGCGAUCAGUCUGGAACACGUAGCAUACGCUCCUAAAGAAUGCCUGUGACUUAAGAACCUGUGGAUGAGGACAUCGCUGGAAUACCUCAGAAUUUGGGUAUGGUGGUUAUUUUCAUAGAACCUAUUUCUAUUUAUAAUAAUGAUAUACCUAGGGUUGUUUCAGUACAGUUAUAUUGCUAUGUUUAGGUGUGUGGGUUUACCAUGGGGAAAUGUUGCUGGUAUAAUAAGUCACCAGACGGGGCGGCAGGUAGCCUAGUGGUUAGAGCGCUGGACUAGUAAACCGAAAGGUUGCAAGAUCAAAUCCCCGAGCUGACGAAGGUAAAAAAAUCUGUCGUUCUGCCUCUGAACAAGGCAGUUAACCCAAUGUUCCUAGGCCGUCAUUGAAAAUAAGAAUUUGUCCUUAAAUAAAGGUAAAAUAAAACCUGGUAAUAGCGGCCUACCACAAAUUCCUUGUUUUGCUAAGUUUGCUGUAUUGUACAUUGCU